Molecule: transfer RNA, 58 nt
Filed under: Canis lupus familiaris (dog)
Lineage: Eukaryota; Metazoa; Chordata; Mammalia; Carnivora; Canidae
Also listed under: 1 other name
Rfam family: tRNA
About the family: Transfer RNA (tRNA) molecules are approximately 80 nucleotides in length. Their secondary structure includes four short double-helical elements and three loops (D, anti-codon, and T loops).
Source: Rfam by way of RNAcentral
UAGCUCAGUCAGUGGAGCAUGAGGCUCUUGAUCUCAGAAUUGUGAGUUCAAGUCCCAC